RNAcentral lists this ribosomal RNA (137 nucleotides) under uncultured eukaryote. RNAcentral's name for it is "partial 18S ribosomal RNA". It matches the Rfam family "Eukaryotic small subunit ribosomal RNA", at positions 1299 to 1458 of the family's 1831-position model. The record is from RNAcentral.
UGGUGGAGUGAUUUGUCUGCUUAAUUGCGAUAACGAACGAGACCUUAACCUGCUAAAUAGCCAGGCGAGCUUUUGCUCGUCGCCGGCUUCUUAGAGGGACUAUCGGCUCAAGCCGAUGGAAGUUUGAGGCAAUAACA